This 467-nucleotide ribosomal RNA is filed under the name uncultured bacterium. Its description in RNAcentral is "partial 16S ribosomal RNA". It matches the Rfam family "Bacterial small subunit ribosomal RNA", at positions 28 to 507 of the family's 1533-position model. The record is from RNAcentral.
GACGAACGCUGGCGGCGUGCUUAACACGUGCAAGUCGAACGGAAAGGCUCCAGCUUGCUGGAGUGCUCGAGUGGCGAACGGGUGAGUAACACGUGGGCAAUCUGCCCUGCACUCUGGGAUAAGCCUGGGAAACUGGGUCUAAUACCGGAUAGGACCUUUCUCCUCAUGGGGUUUGGUGGAAAGUUUUUCGGUGCAGGAUGAGCCCGCGGCCUAUCAGCUUGUUGGUGGGGUAAUGGCCUACCAAGGCGACGACGGGUAGCCGGCCUGAGAGGGUGAUCGGCCACAUUGGGACUGAGAUACGGCCCAGACUCCUACGGGAGGCAGCAGUGGGGAAUAUUGCACAAUGGGCGAAAGCCUGAUGCAGCGACGCCGCGUGAGGGAUGACGGCCUUCGGGUUGUAAACCUCUUUCAGUAGGGACGAAGCGCAAGUGACGGUACCUGCAGAAGAAGCACCGGCUAACUACGUG